Molecule: ribosomal RNA, 621 nt
Filed under: Phlegmacium saginum
Lineage: Eukaryota; Fungi; Basidiomycota; Agaricomycetes; Agaricales; Cortinariaceae
Description: eukaryotic LSU rRNA
Rfam family: Eukaryotic large subunit ribosomal RNA
Source: RNAcentral
UGACCUCAAAUCAGGUAGGACUACCCGCUGAACUUAAGCAUAUCAAUAAGCGGAGGAAAAGAAACUAACAAGGAUUCCCCUAGUAACUGCGAGUGAAGCGGGAAAAGCUCAAAUUUAAAAUCUGUCAGUCUUUGGCUGUCCGAGUUGUAAUCUAGAGAAGUGUUAUCCGCGCUGGACCGUGUACAAGUCUCCUGGAAUGGAGCGUCAUAGAGGGUGAGAAUCCCGUCUUUGACACGGACUGCCAGGGCUUUGUGAUGCGCUCUCAAAGAGUCGAGUUGUUUGGGAAUGCAGCUCAAAAUGGGUGGUAAAUUCCAUCUAAAGCUAAAUAUUGGCGAGAGACCGAUAGCGAACAAGUACCGUGAGGGAAAGAUGAAAAGAACUUUGGAAAGAGAGUUAAACAGUACGUGAAAUUGCUGAAAGGGAAACGCUUGAAGUCAGUCGCGUUGUCCAGGGAUCAACCUUGCUUUUGCUUGGUGUAUUUUCUGGUUGACGGGUCAGCAUCAAUUUUGACUGUUGGAAAAAGAUCAGGGGAAUGUGGCAUCUUCGGAUGUGUUAUAGCCCUUGGUUGCAUACAACGGCUGGGAUUGAGGAACUCAGCACGCCGCAAGGCCGGGUAAAUUU